Prinia subflava (tawny-flanked prinia) is the source of this 2297-nucleotide RNA transcript. It is a transcript of the gene named SET domain containing 4, with no coding region annotated. Lineage: Eukaryota; Metazoa; Chordata; Aves; Passeriformes; Cisticolidae. The transcript has 10 exons. The record is from RefSeq and is a predicted model, not a curated record.
GGGAGAGCGGGCGGGGACUCUCGGAGAGGGACAGCGAGGGAAUGUCGGGCCCUGUGUGCCUUUGGGAGGUUGUCUAAAAAAGGCCGAAUCUGUUGUUUAAUAUGAAGAAAAGCAGAGGUCGGACAGGUCGAAAGAGAAGAAGAAAACACUUGAAGAGUUUUAUGGAUGGAGUCAACUGCAGUCACAAGCUAGAAUACAUUAAACUUAAGAAGUGGCUAAAAGAGAGAGGAUUUGAAGACAGUCAUUUAAGGCCAGCAGAGUUCUGGGAGACAGGACGAGGAUUGAUGACAACAAAAGCUCUUCAGGCAGGAGAUCUGAUUAUUUCCUUGCCUGAGAAGUGUUUGCUCACCACGGGCACCGUCCUCAGCAGCUGCUUGGGAGGACACAUUGUGAAGUGGAAGCCCCCCGUGUCUCCUUUGCUGGCGCUGUGCACGUUUUUGAUAGCAGAGAAACACGCUGGGGACAAAUCUCCAUGGAAGCCCUACCUGGAUGUUCUACCCAAGACUUACACUUGCCCUGCUUGUUUGGAACCUGAUGUAAUAAAUCUUCUCCCAAAGGCCUUGAAAAAGAAGGCUCAGGAGCAAAAAACGAUGAUCCAAGAGCUGUUCAGCUCUUCCAAAGCUUUCUUCUCUUCCCUGCAGCCUUUAUUUGCUGAGAACACAGGAACUAUUUUUAAUUACAGUGCUUUGGAGUGGGCUUGGUGCACUGUAAAUACCAGGACAAUCUACAUGAAACAUCCACACAGGGAAUGCUUUUCCCUAGAGCCAGAUGUUUAUGCAUUGGCACCAUAUUUAGAUUUGCUAAACCACAGCCCAAAUAUUCAGGUCAAGGCUGCGUUCAACGAGCAGACGAGGAGCUACGAAAUCUGGACAAAUUCACAGUGCAGAAAAUACCAGGAAGUUUUUAUCUGCUAUGGACCCCAUGAUAAUCAGAGGCUGCUGCUGGAAUAUGGAUUUGUUGCUGUGGAUAACCCUCACAGCAGUGUUUAUGUCUCAGCAGAUACUCUCCUCAAGUAUUUCUCACCACUGGACAAGCAGAGAAAGGGCAAAAUUUCCAUUCUAAAGGAUCAUGAUUUCCUAGAGAACCUGACCUUUGGAUGGGAGGGACCAUCCUGGAGGCUCCUCACAGCCCUCAAGGUGCUGAGCCUGGGAGCAGAUGAAUUGUGAGUUGUGGCCCCCUGAAUGUUUGGUGGAUGUGCAGGUGCCUUUGGCUUGGAUUUCCUGGAAUCACCAAGGUGGGAAGAGCCCCUCAGGAUCACCCAGUGCCACCCCAGCGCCACCAGCAUCCCCCAAACCCUGUCCCCAGGGGCCACCUCCAGACUCCUCCUGAGCACUCCCACAGACAGUGACUGCAAACCUCCCUGGGCAGCUCAGCCCAAGGCCUGACCACUCUGCCAGGGAAAUUUCCUUUCCAAUCUCCAGGCUGAGCCUCCCCUGGUGCAAUUUGAGGCCAUUUCCUCUCCUCCUUUCCCUGCCCCUCCUGUCAGGGACUUGUGCAGAGCCACAAGGUCCCCCCUGAGCCUCCUUUUCUCCAGCCUCAGCCCCUUCCCAGCUCCCUCAUCUGCUCCUCCCUUUUCCAGACCCUUCAAUAUUUUCUGUUUCCCUUCACUCUUUGCUCUCUGCUGGCUGUGAGUGACACUGGGACAACUCUUGGAUCUGCUGUGUCUGUUCUGUUGAGCUCAGGUGAGAAAAGAAGAAAGACAGAGCACACCACUGCCUGUAAACUCACUCCCCUGCUGUUUUACAACCCUUUCCACAAAAAAGAUUCCUGCUUUGGUGAUUUUCUUUCUUGUAUUGUUGUCCCUUUCUAUUUGAAGCCCCAGAUAUUUCCUCAAGGUUCAGCCUCCAGGCCUUUUCCCUGUUGGUUUGAUGAAACUUUAAAUGCUCCUAACCUGGCUUGAUUUCCUUGAGUCAUGUGUUCCACAGGCUGGGAUUCCAGGGCCAAGGAAGUUGCUGAAAUCCAUCUCCAGGACUUUUAUUCCAAAUACAAAUCUGCCUCAAACAUCAGGCAUGGAAAAUUACCAUUGCAUUUGGCUUGGAAUAAAUGAAAUGAGGGAAUAAAUUAAUGAGAAAAGGCUUGUUCAGAGUUGUUUGUGCUUUGAAGAUUCAUUGCUGAGUGGAAUAAAUUGAUCUAAGAACUAAAAAUAAAUCCCUGGGGUUGGUUACGAGCCCAGUGCCUGCUGGAGGAGGGUCCUGCUUGGUGAUGUCAGCUCAGCCAGGAAUGAACAGCAGGCUUUGGCUACAGCAGCAAAAAUCUGCCACUUUUUGAUAGAGGAGACCCAGCAUGUCCUUCUCCAG